This is a long non-coding RNA of Sciurus carolinensis (gray squirrel), 811 nucleotides long. RefSeq lists it as uncharacterized. NCBI's taxonomy places the organism in Eukaryota, Metazoa, Chordata, Mammalia, Rodentia, Sciuridae. The transcript has 5 exons. The record is from RefSeq and is a predicted model, not a curated record.
CCAGACUGGCCACGUUCAUGUACUCAGCAGAUGAGGAUGAAGCCAUUCACAAGAACAAAGGCUGGAGCAGCGCCAGCUCCUAAGGAAUCAGUCACCCAAGCAGACUUCCUGGAGGAGGGUUGUUUCCGGCUCAGGGCUGGGCGUCAUCUGCUUUACCCUCCUGCGACCCAGCUGGCUUCCUGGAUUUCAUCAGGGCCCCCAAAUAUUCAUGAGCAAACCCCUGCGGCUGGACACACUCAGGAGGGGCACCGUAAGAUCUCGGCUCCAAUUCUCUCCCUCUGAAUGAGCUGCGGUCCAGCACGUUCGCGUCAGACCUGGAGCUUGCACCACCGCCCGCCGAAACCCACUUCAAUGAUUAGCGAAGGUGCCAGGGAAAUUAUGAAAACCAUGUGACAGACAGAAAAACCAAGGCUCAAGCAAGAUGUUUGCCCAGAGUCAAACAGCUUCUUGUAGAUGGAGCCAUGGCUAGAGCGAACACAUUAGCAUCUCUGUCAGACCUUGGAAAAGACUGAAUGAUGGAUAUCCGCAAGGAAUCAUGCCCAGCAGCCUCUCUUUGGCUGGUCAUCCUAUCCCAGAUCUACAGACCUGUCUCAGCAGAAGGACCCCUGGGUACUGCUGCUGGAAUUCCAGAGCCACAGAAACAGAGAUUAAAAGCUUUGAGUCUGAACAAAGACCCGGAGGCAGGAGGACCAGGGGAUAGAGUUGACACCAGUAGCUGUUUUACAGAAAUAUUAUAUGCCAAAAGAAGAAGAAGAAGAAGAAGAAGAAGAAGAAGAAGAAGAAGAAGAAGAAGAAGAAGAAGAAGAAGAAG